This 989-nucleotide ribosomal RNA is filed under the name Salmonella enterica. RNAcentral's name for it is "partial 23S ribosomal RNA". It matches the Rfam family "Bacterial large subunit ribosomal RNA", at positions 161 to 1190 of the family's 2925-position model. The record is from RNAcentral. Lineage: Bacteria; Pseudomonadati; Pseudomonadota; Gammaproteobacteria; Enterobacterales; Enterobacteriaceae.
AAUCCAUAGGUUAAUGAGGCGAACCGGGGGAACUGAAACAUCUAAGUACCCCGAGGAAAAGAAAUCAACCGAGAUUCCCCCAGUAGCGGCGAGCGAACGGGGAGGAGCCCAGAGCCUGAAUCAGCAUGUGUGUUAGUGGAAGCGUCUGGAAAGGCGCGCGAUACAGGGUGACAGCCCCGUACACAAAAGCGCAUGUGCUGUGAGCUCGAUGAGUAGGGCGGGACACGUGGUAUCCUGUCUGAAUAUGGGGGGACCAUCCUCCAAGGCUAAAUACUCCUGACUGACCGAUAGUGAACCAGUACCGUGAGGGAAAGGCGAAAAGAACCCCGGCGAGGGGAGUGAAAAAGAACCUGAAACCGUGUACGUACAAGCAGUGGGAGCACCCUUUUGGGUGUGACUGCGUACCUUUUGUAUAAUGGGUCAGCGACUUAUAUUCUGUAGCAAGGUUAACCGUAUAGGGGAGCCGCAGGGAAACCGAGUCUUAACCGGGCGUUAAGUUGCAGGGUAUAGACCCGAAACCCGGUGAUCUAGCCAUGGGCAGGUUGAAGGUUGGGUAACACUAACUGGAGGACCGAACCGACUAAUGUUGAAAAAUUAGCGGAUGACCUGUGGCUGGGGGUGAAAGGCCAAUCAAACCGGGAGAUAGCUGGUUCUCCCCGAAAGCUAUUUAGGUAGCGCCUCGUGAAUUCAUCUCCGGGGGUAGAGCACUGUUUCGGCUAGGGGGCCAUCCCGGCUUACCAACCCGAUGCAAACUGCGAAUACCGGAGAAUGUUAUCACGGGAGACACACGGCGGGUGCUAACGUCCGUCGUGAAGAGGGAAACAACCCAGACCGCCAGCUAAGGUCCCAAAGUCAUGGUUAAGUGGGAAACGAUGUGGGAAGGCCCAGACAGCCAGGAUGUUGGCUUAGAAGCAGCCAUCAUUUAAAGAAAGCGUAAUAGCUCACUGGUCGAGUCGGCCUGCGCGGAAGAUGUAACGGGGCUAAACCAU